AGAGGCCCAAGUUGAUAGACACCGGCGUAAAGCGUGGUUAAGAUUCUUGCAAAACUAAAGCCGAACACCUUCAGAGCUGUUAUACGCACCCGGAGGCAUGAAGACCAACAACGAAAGUGGCUUUACAACCCUGAACCCACGAAAGCUACGACACAAACUGGGAUUAGAUACCCCACUAUGCCUAGCCGUAAACAUUGGUAAUACAGCACAUUUAUUACCCGCCAGGGAACUACAAGCAUUA
Molecule: ribosomal RNA, 241 nt
Filed under: Etheostoma tuscumbia (Tuscumbia darter)
Lineage: Eukaryota; Metazoa; Chordata; Actinopteri; Perciformes; Percidae
Description: partial 12S ribosomal RNA
Source: RNAcentral